UUGGAGGGCAAGUCUGGUGCCAGCAGCCGCGGUAAUUCCAGCUCCAAUAGCGUAUAUUAAAGUUGUUGCAGUUAAAAAGCUCGUAGUUGAAUUUCGGGAUCAGCAGGUUGGUCGUGCCUCUGGUAUGCACUGGUUUCGCUGAUUCCUCCUUUCUGAAGAACUGUAAUGUCAUUAAUUUGGUGUUGCAGGGAAACAGGACUGUUACUUUGAAAAAAUUAGAGUGUUUAAAGCAGGCUAGCGCUUGAAUACAUUAGCAUGGAAUAAUGAAAUAGGACGUUUGAUCCUAUUUUGUUGGUUUCUAGGAUUGACGUAAUGAUUAAUAGGGAUAGUUGGGGGCAUUAGUAUUCAAUUGUCAGAGGUGAAAUUCUUGGAUUUAUUGAAGACUAACUACUGCGAAAGCAUUUGCCAAGGAUGUUUUCAUUAAUCAAGAACGAAAGUUAGGGGAUCGAAGACGAUCAGAUACCGUCGUAGUCUUAACCAUAAACUAUGCCGACUAGGGAUCGGAUGAUGUUAAUUUUUUAAUGACUCAUUCGGCGCCUUACGGGAAAC
This 549-nucleotide ribosomal RNA is filed under the name uncultured Glomeromycotina. Its description in RNAcentral is "SSU rRNA". It matches the Rfam family "Eukaryotic small subunit ribosomal RNA", at positions 548 to 1098 of the family's 1831-position model. Lineage: Eukaryota; Fungi; Glomeromycota. The record is from RNAcentral.